Non-coding RNA from Camelina sativa (false flax), 895 nucleotides. NCBI's taxonomy places the organism in Eukaryota, Viridiplantae, Streptophyta, Magnoliopsida, Brassicales, Brassicaceae. The record is from RefSeq and is a predicted model, not a curated record.
UUCGUUUUGUUUUGUAUUUAAGGUUCAAUGAGUCUCGUGUAUGGCUAAUAACCCCAAUUACCUCACUCGUGAAUUUUUCAGUACUAUUCAAUUUUUUUUUUUGUUUUAAACAUUAAGUUCAGAUUUUUUGAGUGUUGUUGUUUGGUUUGGAAAUGUAUGUCUUCAUAUAUAGUUGAGUUUUUUUGUUAAUUCUUGUUUGAUGUUCUUUUGUUAGGUUCUGAGUCAGCUGCUGGUGAAGAAACUGAUGCUCUUGAGUCCCAAACUGCUGCCGUACUAAUAACCGUGGCGAUGGUUUGCUUACGGCUGUUCAUAAGGAUUAUUUUAGAGUUGUGAACUCGAAGGAUUUGCUAAUUUACCGAUUGUGGUGACAGAGUUGCGCAGUUGCUACAUGUAGAAUUAGUUCCUCCUUACUCUCAGUACGAUGCUCAUCAACAAGUUUUGAUUGUCAAUACUCAUUUGCUGUUUCCUCAUGAUUCAACUUUGUCUAUAGUAAGACUGCAGCAGGUUUAUAAGAUUCUUCAGUAUGUAGUGUCACUGUCUUUAAAACACUGUGAAUACAUAAUUGGGCAUUAGGUUGAGAGAUUUGGCCGAGACUAUGAUUGAUUUAUGACAUUGACAUUCUUCUCCUCAAGCUGGUUCUUGGUGUUGUGGAACUUGGUCUUCGUGUCCUGUCUCUUGCUUCAUCGUCUUCGCGUUUUAUCUGGAACGAUUUCUUCACCUUUUGCCAACGCAAUCCCCAGUUUUGUGUGCUCUUCUGUUUGUUACUUAGCUUUUCAUACUCUUGUUGAAGCUCAUUGUAAUCGGUCUGAAGCUCAGCCAUCUUAUUCUUCAUAUUUUCCAGUUCUUCUGUUAAGUGUCUUGAUUUCAUCAUCUCUACAACCUGCAGAAUUUUCUU